Molecule: small RNA, 29 nt
Filed under: Bombyx mori (domestic silkworm)
Lineage: Eukaryota; Metazoa; Arthropoda; Insecta; Lepidoptera; Bombycidae
Description: ovarian small RNA-32783
Source: RNAcentral
UGAUGACAAUUUGGGUCCCUUACACGACU